This 568-nucleotide ribosomal RNA is filed under the name uncultured bacterium. Its description in RNAcentral is "bacterial SSU rRNA". It matches the Rfam family "Bacterial small subunit ribosomal RNA", at positions 102 to 658 of the family's 1533-position model. The record is from RNAcentral.
ACGGGUGAGUAACACGUAAGGAACCUGCCUCAAGGAUUGGGAUAACUCCGAGAAAUCGGAGCUAAUACCGGAUAGUUCAUCGGACCGCAUGGUCCGUUGAUGAAAGGCGCUUCGGCGUCACCUUGAGAUGGCCUUGCGGUGCAUUAGCUAGUUGGUGGGGUAAUGGCCCACCAAGGCGACGAUGCAUAGCCGACCUGAGAGGGUGAUCGGCCACACUGGGACUGAGACACGGCCCAGACUCCUACGGGAGGCAGCAGUAGGGAAUCUUCCACAAUGGACGAAAGUCUGAUGGAGCAACGCCGCGUGAGUGAUGAAGGUUUUCGGAUCGUAAAACUCUGUUGUAAGGGAAGAACACGUACGAGAGGAAAUGCUCGUACCUUGACGGUACCUUACGAGAAAGCCACGGCUAACUACGUGCCAGCAGCCGCGGUAAUACGUAGGUGGCAAGCGUUGUCCGGAAUUAUUGGGCGUAAAGCGCGCGCAGGCGGCCUUUUAAGUCUGAUGUGAAAGCCCCCGGCUCAACCGGGGAGGGCCAUUGGAAACUGGAAGGCUUGAGUACAGAAGAGAA